Alexandromys fortis (reed vole) is the source of this 3845-nucleotide long non-coding RNA. RefSeq lists it as uncharacterized. NCBI's taxonomy places the organism in Eukaryota, Metazoa, Chordata, Mammalia, Rodentia, Cricetidae. The record is from RefSeq and is a predicted model, not a curated record. The transcript is spliced from 3 exons.
ACCACUGCCUGGCUGCUAUCUUUCUUUUAAAACAUGCAAGGCUUUAAUACCAGCACUUGGGAGGCAGAUACAAGAGGAUCUCUCUUGAGUUCGAGGCCAGCCUGGUCUACAAGAGCUAGUUCCAGGACGGGCACCAAAGCUACAGAGAAAGCUUGUCUCGAAAAAACCAAAAAGAAAAAGAAAGAAACAAACAAAAAACAAACAAACAAAAAACCUGGCACAACAUACAAAUCAGGCCUUCAUCCCCGUGCUCAGGGCCAACCAAGUGCAGGUUGUCUCUGUGAGCUGGAGGCCAGCCUGUCCUAAUAAGACCUAUCAAUCAGUCAGUCAGAAAAUAAAAAUAAACUAGUCUAUAGAAAUAAAUUGAUGAGGAAAGUGGAAUUUGAAACUGGGUUUCAUUAUUUUACAUUUUUUUAAAAAAGAAAUCUUUAUUUUAUGUGUGUGUUUUGCCUGCAUGCAUGUCUGUAGAGUAAGGUACAUUCCUGGUGCUCUCAGAGGCCAGAAGAGGUCAUUGGAUCCCCUAGAACUAGAGUUACAGAUAGUUGUGAACUGCCAAAGGGUGCUGGGAAUCAAACCCAGGUCCUCUAGAAGAGCAGUCAGUGCUCUUAACCUCUGGUCUAUCCCUCCAGUAUCCACUCACACCUUUUUGUUUUUAAAAUGUUUUAACACAGGGCAUUACUCGGCAGUCCUGGCUGUCCAAAAGCGAGCUAUGUAGCCUGGGUGGCCCCAAACUUACAACAGCCUCGAUCUGACUCUCAGGUCCUGGGGUCAGAGGUGAGCAGCCCACGCCCAGCUACACUGCUUCUUUAUAACUCACCCUUUGGACUGAGGUGCCCAUUUGUCUCAAACUGUUAGAGCAGGUUCCUAGAAUUGGUAGAUAGAUACACCAGCCUCCUUAUUCAUCGCUAUAAUGAAAUACCCAACGAGAAGGCAAAUGAAAAGGGGAAGGGUUUGGGCUCACAGUUUGAGGGUACAGCCCAUCAUGGCAGGGAAAGCAGCAGGAAGCUGCUUGCUCACCCCUGGGCAGGUGCAUGGUGUUCCUCACACCUGGGCAGGUGCGUGGUGUUCCUCACCCCUGGGCAGGUGCGUGGUGUUGCUCACCCCUGGGCAGGUGCGUGGUGUUGCUCACCCCUGGGCAGGUGCAUGGUGUUGCUCACCCCUGGGCAGGUGCGUGGUGGUCCUCACCCCUGGGCAGGUGCAUGGUGUUGCUCACACCUGGGCAGGUGCGUGGUGGUCCUCACCCCUGGGCAGGUGCAUGGUGUUCCUCACCCCUGGGCAGGUGCAUGGUGAUGGUCAGCUUACUUCUUCACUUCCCCUUUUAUACAUCUGAGGACCUCUACCCACUGGAUGGUGCCCCCACAAUCAGGAUAGGUCUUCCUUCCUCAGUUAAACUUCUCUGGAAGUGCCCCCUGCCCCUCACACACAGCCAGAACAGUGCCUCCCUGGAGCCCUGGUGUUUUUUCAUUCAAUCAAGAUGCCAGUUGAAACGAUUGACCUGGAAAGGCUGGUGAAACCUAAGGUCACGUGUGGAGCAGCAGGUGUAAACUCUAGUGCUCAUUGCUUGCAGCGCUGUUAAUCCCUGGGUCCUCUGGUCACAGCACCGCUAUUGUCCUCCACUUGUUAGAAAACCCUGACAAAGUAUCUUCUUCAUGGUGGCAAAGGGAGAACCUUUUUACAUUCUAGAAUUCAUAAUUAUUUAUUAUAUAUACAGCAUUCUGCCUGCAUGUACGCUUGCACACCAGAAGAGGGCACCAGAUCUCAUCAUAGAUGGUUGUGAGCCACCAUGUGGUUUCUGGGAAUUGAACUCAGGACCUCUGAAAGAGCAGCCAGUGCUCUUAACCUCUGAGCCAUCCCUCCAGCCCCUAGAAUUCAUGUUUAAGGGGGAAGGGAGAAGGGAAAUUAAAUCAGCACACAAGUUUCCUCUCAAAGUUUCAUUUUGUUUUUUUCUCUUUUUGCUUUGACACAAGGUGAUGAUGUGCAGUCCAGGCUGGCCUUGAACUCUCAGUUCUUCCACCUUAGCCUCCUGAGUGCUGGGAUUGCUAGCAGGUGUCACCACCCCCAGCUAAGUCUGGCACUCUACGUGGUUUAGGAAGAUUCCUCAGCUCUUGGUUGUAGCCGUGUCCUAGGCCUGGACUAUCUGAGAUCCUUGGCUUUAAAGGCCUCUUCAGAAUUCUUUUGUUUGUUUGUUUGAUUGAUUGAUUGAUUGAUUGGUUUUUCAAGACAGGGUUUCUCUGUGUAGCCCUGGCUGUCCUGGAACUUACCAUGUAGACUAGGCUGGCCUCGAACUCAGAAAUCCUCCUGCCGUUGCCUCCCGAGUGCUGGUAAAGGUGUGUGUCACCACUGCCUGGCUUCUUCAAAAUUCUGAUAGCCACCAAGGCCUGCAGCUUCUCUUCUCUGGCUCCUUAUGUUUUUCCUUCCUUCUUCAGCCUCAGCUCUCUGGCGUCUGUUUCUGCCACUCCGCUGCUCCUGCCCUGGGCACUCCCUUGAACUGUUCAACCUCUUUAGCACCCAGGCAGCUGGCUGCCUUGCUGCGUUUGUGUUGAGUGACAGUUCAACCAGCUGCUGUCACGCGGCUCUCUCUGCGGCUGCUGCCACUCAGCCCACACUACUAAAACAAGACCAAAAGACUGACAGCAUCACUGGGCCCGAUGUUGCAACACCAGAGGAGACAGCACAGGACGGUAUCUGUUUCCCAGGCGACUCCCCAAGUGAGCCUGAACAACCUGCCGAAUGCCAUAGCCGGGGUGAUUGCACUAACAGCAAUACACUUCGCCUGCAGAUGAAGGUCAGUGACAUCACUAAUCACUGUAUUGCUCCUCUGGGCUAGGUAAAGAUGCUCAUAGGACCAUCUAGAGUUUUCUAAGUCUCCAAUAGCGAAAUGUCUGUAUCUUAUUUGUCCUGGCUGCGGCUGCACCUUCAGGAGAGGGGCAAUCAGCUGGGCCUGAGCAGUUUUUCUCAGAGAGCCUAAGGAGCUAAUGCUGGCAAGAGAGUAAUGGCUGGAUUCUGAAGCAUACAGUUAUGAAAUCAGAUUGCCCCAACUCCCAAAUGUUUUGAUGCUUACAGUUGGAACUUAAGGAACUUAGUACGCUAAUCCUGAUCUUAACAGUGAUUUACCAGCGUCUGAUACCUGCCCUAGGCGGAGAUGGGUCCUCCCAUCCCAUCUGUCUCGUGUGCCCAUACACCCACCCAGCCCCCCUACCCUUCACGUCCAGACAUCUUGAAGGCUGGUCCUGCGCGCUUCAGCUCUCUGUGUGGUCUUUCCCUCAAGUAAACCAGACCCCGUUCCCAGCUUCAUACUAAAGAAAGCCAUGAUUAAACGAGGGCACUACCAGUGCAUUCUCGUGUGAGCAAAAGGAGCUUAAAGUUUUAACAGACUCCUCAGAUGUAUGGAAAUUUCCAGGAAUUACACAGGAAAAUAAGUACUUAUAAGUGAAGCCUUGGGCUUCUGGUUUUCAGUUAACGGUGACCAUGAACGACAUAAUUGCUCAGCAAAUUUUAAGUUGUUUUGUAGAGGGCUCUUUUAGACUUGACCUAAAAGUAUGUGUGCUCUUGGGGCCGGGGGUUGUUAACCCCACAGAUUUGAGGAGGAAGACCACUGACCCAAAUCCUGUCCAAAUUCAUUAAAGCAAGCUUUUCAUUAAAAACUUUUUUUAUUAAACUGUAGCUGAAGGUCUCUCUCCCGCCUGCCAGUUCCAGAAUAACCGCUCUGAGGUUUAAUAUUCAUUACAAACUGUUUGGCUGAUGGCUCAGGCUUCUUACUGGCUAGCUCUACAUACAAACUAAUCCAUUUCUAAUAAUCUGUGUAUCACCACGUGCCCUGUGGCUUACCAGGAAUGUGAGGAGUA